This 233-nucleotide unclassified non-coding RNA is filed under the name plant metagenome. Its description in RNAcentral is "partial contains small subunit ribosomal RNA, internal transcribed spacer 1, and 5.8S ribosomal RNA". The record is from RNAcentral.
UUUCCGUAGGUGAACCUGCGGAAGGAUCAUUAUUGGAUUUUGAAACUUCAGGCUGCUGCUGGCUCUCCUCGGAGGGCAUGUGCACGCUUGUUGUCCAUUAUUUCCCCCACUGUGCACAAAUUGUAGACCUUUCAGUAGGCCUAUGUUGUUUUUCACAAUCUCUGAAUGUAAUAGAAUGGUUUUGAAUCUUGGGAAAUACAAUACAACUUUCAGCAACGGAUCUCUUGGCUCUC